AUAAGAACCUUUUAUAAACUUUCGAUAGAGAACGUGAAAUGAUUCUUUGUUGGAACAUUGGUCUUGGAGCGAACAAAGCUGUAUAUAUUCGGUCAAAAAACACUUUGGGUAGUAGAAAAUGUCGAAAGCUUCCCGUGGGAUUCAAACUCACGUCUCCUGGAAACAUGACCCAAUAUUUACACGCUAAUACUUCAUUUGCUUCGCGAUACACCGUUCCUAAGAUGAAUUACUUCACAGUUUCUCAAAGUUUAUAAAUUCUUAUGAUGUCAAAAACAUGCAAUCUCGUUACUAAGAGUAAAGCUUCGAAAGUGGUUAGACAAAUUUGAAGGAUUACUUUGAUCCACGCUUAUCAAAUGAAGCAAUACAUAACCCAAUUAUUCAUAUGCUAUGCAACUAUACGACGAGUUAUUUCAGUUUCCAUUUACCAAAUCCACUCACAAGACUUAAGUCGGCCUGGACGACACUAGACCAAGGUGCAACGCAGGGGAACUGAACUCAGAACCAUGUUGUUGGGAAGCAAACAUAUUAUUAAAAAGCCACGCUAAUGUACAAAAGCAUUAUGAUUUACUUGUAAGACUGAAAUGAAAAAUGUUUACGUUUUUUUGUUUUAUUUUUUUUCUUUUUGUUUGCUAACAGAUGAAAAUACUUUCAUUUUAAAAGCAUGUCUAUAAGGAGGAAGAAAUAAAAACAAUUUAGCUCGAGUAAACAACAGCAACAAUAAUAAGAGCAACAGCAAAAUUCCUUAACGAGAAAAAGCGAUGAUUUAUGUAAAAAGAAAACAAGGCUAAACAAAAACACCCCAACCCAAAACAACAACGUCUGUAUCUACUAGUUGUAAGGAUCUUAAGCCAUAAAGUAUGAAAUCUCCUCCUCCCCAAAACGUGAUAUUCCAUCUCGCAACUCCAAAAUUUCAUAAACAUCAAACAACAGUAAAAGGAUGUUAUCAUUACCCCUGACUUUUAACGAAAGUCACAACGCAAGAGAAAGCGCAAUGUGCAUCUUGGUUCAUAGAGACCACAUUAGACACUCAAGUCCAGCGAAAUUACCGUACAAAGUAUGUGUUAACAUCCGCACAUGUCAUAAAAUGUUUAUGAAAACAAGAAGAGUCCUACAGAAAACAGGCGCUGGGUGAGCAAGGACAUCUGUGGAAGAACUGCGAAUUUGAGCAGGAUUUCAUCGUAGUCAUACUUAGUCCAUUUGUAAUGCAAGUUGACAGGUUCGAUAGUUAAGAAUAUUCUAGGAUUCUGCACCCGCAUUUUCCAUUCUAGUAAUGAACAUGUUUAUGCAGUCUCAUUUAUGAUGAGGAAUUAAAAAAUAAAAAUAAAAAAACAAUGAAAAAUGAAGCGCAAAUAAAUAUUGGAAGAGGACACAAGAAAACAGUGUGAGAGAAAAUAUAUUAGAUUAUAUUGGAGCAAGUUCUUGUACCUGACAUCUAUGUAUGAUUGCAUGUAUGCAUAUAAUAAUGUGUGUAUAUUGUUAUGCAUAUCGUACCCGAGGAAGGUGUAGAACUUUGUGUUUUAACUCGAAAUGGUGUUAAAUCAUUUCUGUCCUGGAUUUUUAACCGAUGGACUGCUUUAUGGUACCUAAUUUCUUUAUUUUAUUUUAUGUUAUUUUUUAU
Molecule: long non-coding RNA, 1618 nt
Organism: Octopus bimaculoides (California two-spot octopus)
Lineage: Eukaryota; Metazoa; Mollusca; Cephalopoda; Octopoda; Octopodidae
Source: RefSeq, a predicted model, not a curated record